Molecule: long non-coding RNA, 1389 nt
Organism: Bos taurus (domestic cattle)
Lineage: Eukaryota; Metazoa; Chordata; Mammalia; Artiodactyla; Bovidae
Source: Ensembl
GGCAGGGUUACCUGGGAGGCAGGGUUUACACUGAUGGGCCAUUAAGUAUAAUCUAAGCUUACAGGCAACAUUCCUUUAGUGAUUAACUUGUAGUAGAAUACAAAGGUUCUUCCCUAUUAUACAAGUUUGCUGCUAACUAGUUAUUUAACUUUGGAUAGUUACUUGAUUCAUUGACUCCUGACUUUCUCAGUCAUGCAUUGUUUUCAUUCAAUACAGAUUUCUUAAAUUAUGUGCAAAUAUUUAGAGCCAAAGGAUCUCAUAAAUAAAGUGGUUCAAAGGUUCACACUUUCAGCUUGAAAAGACACAGAGGAUCUCAUGCACUUGAGGUCAAUGAGGAGACUGCACCCUUGGCCUGCCUUGUGCCUGGUGAAAGUGAAACUGUUAGUCGUUCAGUCAUGUCUGACUCUGCAACUCCAUGGACUGUAGCCCACCAGGCUCCUCUGUCCAUGGAAUUCUCCAGGUCUGACAGCGUCCAGGAGUUACGUGCACGUCUGUCAUACUUCAUAGUUCAAGAAAGGACUGGUCCCCAGUAUACAAGUCACAGGAUCCUCCCCUGCAGAAGGAGGGGUGAGCUUCACGAUGUUGGGCCCCAUGUCCUGCUUCCACACAAGGUCUGACAGAAAGGUCCUGGAUCUGAGAGAUGGGACACCUGGCCAUGCAUAGCACAUAGUAGGCAUGCACAACAAAAUGAAUUCACUGAAUGGAGCCUGCAUUCUUGUCUUGAAUUUGUAACUAACUAGAUCAAGUGGUGGGAGUAAGGAUCUAAACCUAAGUUUUCCCAUAUGUGAAAUAGAGGAGUUAGACAAGGUCACCAUGACUAUACCUUUUGGUUCUCAGAUUCUAUCAUUUUAUUAUUUUAUAUCCUAUCUACCCAGAGCUUGAUCUUCCUGUAUGAGGCCUGAUUGUUAGUAAACUGAUCCAUGAAAGGGUGCUGGGGAACCUCUUUGAGUAUCAUUGCUGUUAUCUACAAAGGCAGACAAUAAUCCUAGGGCUGUUUUGUGAUUCGAAUGAAAGAAAGGAAUGAAGUUCCUAGAAAUAUUAAUGACACAUGCCCCAAAAACGAUAGUUGUUGCUAUUUUCAUCAUUAAAUAACAACUUUUCCUCUUUUAGUUAAUAGAGCUUUGCUAAAUUGUGUGUGUGUGUGUGUGCGUGUGUGUAUGUGUUCAGUCAUUCAAGUCAUGUCCAGAUCUUUUCGACCCUGUGGCUCCUCUGUCUGUGGGAUUCUCCAGGCAAGAAUACUGGAGUGGGUUGCCAUGCCCUCCUCCGGGGGAUCUUCCCAACCCAGGGAUCAAACCCCAUGUUUCUUAUGUCUCCUGCAUUGCCAGGUGGAUUCUUUACCACUAGAAUCACUUGGGAAGCCCUUGCUAAAUUAACUGGCCUUAAAUUAAC